GGACUACACGGGUUUCUAAUCCUGUUUGCUCCCCACGCUUUCGUGUCUCAGUGUCAGUAUCUAUCCAGAUAGUCGCCUUCGCCACUGGUGUUCCUUCCAAUAUCUACGCAUUUCACCGCUACACUGGAAAUUCCACUAUCCUCUACAGUACUCUAGCUAGACAGUCUUAAACGCAGUUCCCAGGUUAAGCCCGGGGAUUUCACAUCUAACUUAUCUAACCACCUACACACGCUUUACGCCCAGUCAUUCCGAUUAACGCUUGCACCCUCUGUAUUACCGCGGCUGCUGGCAC
RNAcentral lists this ribosomal RNA (292 nucleotides) under uncultured bacterium. RNAcentral's name for it is "partial 16S ribosomal RNA". The record is from RNAcentral.